RNAcentral lists this non-coding RNA (68 nucleotides) under Pseudomonas orientalis. RNAcentral also lists the same sequence under 1 other name. Lineage: Bacteria; Pseudomonadati; Pseudomonadota; Gammaproteobacteria; Pseudomonadales; Pseudomonadaceae. The record is from RNAcentral.
UGCCGAAACGUACCGAGCAGGUGCGUCUCUCAGAGGUGGCCUCCUGAGACUGAUGAUGGCGGGCUCUG